This 68-nucleotide transfer RNA is filed under the name Reticunassa festiva complex sp. C. RNAcentral describes it as "tRNA-Thr". It matches the Rfam family "tRNA". From Rfam's summary of the family: Transfer RNA (tRNA) molecules are approximately 80 nucleotides in length. Their secondary structure includes four short double-helical elements and three loops (D, anti-codon, and T loops). Lineage: Eukaryota; Metazoa; Mollusca; Gastropoda; Neogastropoda; Nassariidae. The record is from RNAcentral.
AGCAAUAAUAGCUUAAACAGAGCAUCGGUCUUGUAAGCCGAAGGUGAGCUAUAUUUCUCUUGUUGCUA